UUCGGUCUGGCGGCGAGUGGCGAACGGGUGAGUAAUGUAUCGGAACGUGCCCAGUAGCGGGGGAUAACUACUCGAAAGAGUAGCUAAUACCGCAUACGCCCUACGGGGGAAAGGGGGGGAUCGCAAGACCUCUCACUAUUGGAGCGGCCGAUAUCGGAUUAGCUAGUUGGUGAGGUAAAGGCUCACCAAGGCGACGAUCCGUAGCUGGUUUGAGAGGACGACCAGCCACACUGGGACUGAGACACGGCCCAGACUCCUACGGGAGGCAGCAGUGGGGAAUUUUGGACAAUGGGGGCAACCCUGAUCCAGCCAUCCCGCGUGUGCGAUGAAGGCCUUCGGGUUGUAAAGCACUUUUGGCAGGAAAGAAAUCGCAUGGAUUAAUACUCUGUGUGGAUGACGGUACCUGCAGAAUAAGCACCGGCUAACUACGUGCCAGCAGCCGCGGUAAUACGUAGGGUGCAAGCGUUAAUCGGAAUUACUGGGCGUAAAGCGUGCGCAGGCGGUUCGGAAAGAAAGAUGUGAAAUCCCAGGGCUUAACCUUGGAACUGCAUUUUUAACUCCCGAGCUAGAGUGCGUCAGAGGGGGGUGGAAUUCCGCGUGUAGCAGUGAAAUGCGUAGAUAUGCGGAGGAACACCGAUGGCGAAGGCAGCCCCCUGGGAUGACACUGACGCUCAUGCACGAAAGCGUGGGGAGCAAACGG
RNAcentral lists this ribosomal RNA (700 nucleotides) under uncultured beta proteobacterium. Its description in RNAcentral is "bacterial SSU rRNA". It matches the Rfam family "Bacterial small subunit ribosomal RNA", at positions 79 to 775 of the family's 1533-position model. Lineage: Bacteria; Pseudomonadati; Pseudomonadota; Betaproteobacteria. The record is from RNAcentral.